RNAcentral lists this ribosomal RNA (373 nucleotides) under uncultured bacterium. RNAcentral's name for it is "bacterial SSU rRNA". It matches the Rfam family "Bacterial small subunit ribosomal RNA", at positions 372 to 762 of the family's 1533-position model. The record is from RNAcentral.
CGGCAGCUGAUGCAGCGACGCCGCGUGAGUGAUGACGGCCUUCGGGUUGUAAACCUCUUUCAGCAGGGACGAAGCGCAAGUGACGGUACCUGCAGAAGAAGCACCGGCUAACUACGUGCCAGCAGCCGCGGUAAUACGUAGGGUGCAAGCGUUGUUCGGAAUUACUGGGCGUAAAGAGUUCGUAGGCGGUUUGUUAAGUCGUUUGUGAAAUCCCGCGGCUCAACCUGGGAAUUGCAGUUGAUACUGGCAGACUUGAGUACGGCAGAGGAGAGUGGAAUUCCUGGUGUAGCGGUGAAAUGCGCAGAUAUCAGGAGGAACACCGGUGGCGAAGGCAGUGUCUCUGGGCAGUAACUGACGCUGAGCACGAAUGAUG